CCUUGUCUCUAGUUGCUACGAAAGGGCACUCUAGAGAGACUGCCGGUGACAAACCGGAGGAAGGUGGGGAUGACGUCAAGUCCUCAUGGCCCUUAUGGGUAGGGCUUCACACGUCAUACAAUGGUGCGUACAGAGGGUUGCCAACCCGCGAGGGGGAGCCAAUCCCAGAAAACACAUCGUAGUCCGGAUCGUAGUCUGCAACUCGACUACGUGAAGCUGGAAUCGCUAAUAAUCGCGGAUCAGCAUGCCGCGGUGAAUACGUCCCGGGUUUUGUACACACCGCCCGUCACACCAUGGGANUGGGUUUUGCCAGAAGUAGUUAGCCUAACCGCAUAGGAGGCCGANUACCACGGCAGGGNUCAUGACUGGGGUGAAGUCGCAACAAGGUAGCCGUAUCGGAAGUG
Molecule: ribosomal RNA, 404 nt
Filed under: Ralstonia sp. 1183
Lineage: Bacteria; Pseudomonadati; Pseudomonadota; Betaproteobacteria; Burkholderiales; Burkholderiaceae
Description: bacterial SSU rRNA
Rfam family: Bacterial small subunit ribosomal RNA
Source: RNAcentral